This 22-nucleotide microRNA is filed under the name Alligator mississippiensis (American alligator). RNAcentral's name for it is "Ami-Mir-216-P2b_3p* (star (passenger))". Lineage: Eukaryota; Metazoa; Chordata; Crocodylia; Alligatoridae. The record is from RNAcentral.
CACAGUUGUAUCUGGGAUUAUG